CACGGUCCAGACUCUACGGGAGGCAGCAGUGAGGAAUAUUGGCAAUGGAGGAAACUCUGACCCAGCAUGCCGCGUGAGUGAAGAAGGUUUUCGAAUUGUAAAGCUCUUUCGGAUGGGACGAUGAUGACGGUACCAUCUAAAGAAGCCCCGGCAAACUUCGUGCCAGCAGCCGCGGUAAUACGAAGGGGGCAAGCGUUGUUCGGAAUUACUGGGCGUAAAGGGUGUGUAGGCGGAUUUGUAAGAUAGUGGUGAAAUACCUGAGCUCAACUUAGGAAUUGCCAUUAUAACUAUAGAUCUGGAGUGACAGAGAGGAUAUUGGAAUACCCAGUGUAGAGGUGAAAUUCGUAGAUAUUGGGUAGAACACCAGUGGCGAAGGCGAGUAUCUGGCUGUCAACUGACGCUGAGGCACGAAAGCAUGGGGAUCAAACAGGAUUAGAUACCCUGGUAGUCCAUGCUGUAAACGAUGAAUGCUAGUUGUCGGCAAAAGCCGGUGACGC
RNAcentral lists this ribosomal RNA (497 nucleotides) under uncultured Alphaproteobacteria bacterium. RNAcentral's name for it is "bacterial SSU rRNA". It matches the Rfam family "Bacterial small subunit ribosomal RNA", at positions 325 to 849 of the family's 1533-position model. Lineage: Bacteria; Pseudomonadati; Pseudomonadota; Alphaproteobacteria. The record is from RNAcentral.